Molecule: ribosomal RNA, 498 nt
Filed under: uncultured Flavobacteriia bacterium
Lineage: Bacteria; Pseudomonadati; Bacteroidota; Flavobacteriia
Description: partial 16S ribosomal RNA
Source: RNAcentral
UGAGGAAURUUGGGCAAUGGAGGCAACUCUGACCCAGCCAUGCCGCGUGCAGGAAGACGGCCGUACGGGUUGUAAACUGCUUUUAUACAGGAWGAACACCACCCACGUGUGGGUGACUGACGGUAMWGUAAGAAUAAGGACCGGCUAACUCCGUGCCAGCAGCCGCGGUAAUASGGAGGGUCCGAGCGUUAUCCGGAAUCAUUGGGUUUAAAGGGUCCGUAGGCGGGMUAAUAAGUCAGAGGUGAAAGUUUGCAGCUCAACUGUAAAAUUGCCUUUGAUACUGUUAGUCUUGAGUUAUAGUGAAGUGGUUAGAAUAAGUGGUGUAGCGGUGAAAUGCAUAGAUAUCACUUASAAUACCGAUUGCGAAGGYMGAUCACUAACUGUAUACUGACGCKGAGGGAMGAAAGCAUGRGUAGCGAACRKGAUUMGAUACCCCGGUMGUCCAUGCAGUAAACGAUGGAUACUAGCUGUGGGUUCGGUCAGUGGCUAAGCKAACGC